AAGACUAUUUUCAGAGAUCAUUUCUAUAGCUCAUUACUAGAGAAGUUUCUCUAUUAUGUAGGGCACUGGAAACCACCAGGAGGAGAUACAGCGUUCCCUUGUGAGCCUGAGGCUGAUUCUUGAUGUGCUUCACUGCAUUUGCCAUUUUACCAUUUGCCAUUGAUGAUUGUUCUUGCUUUCCUUUGUGGGAGAAAGAGGGAGAGAAUGCAGUCUGAGUGGA
RNAcentral lists this small nucleolar RNA (220 nucleotides) under Carlito syrichta (Philippine tarsier). Its description in RNAcentral is "Small nucleolar RNA U3 (ENSTSYG00000036362.1)". It matches the Rfam family "Small nucleolar RNA U3". Rfam says of the family: Small nucleolar RNAs (snoRNAs) are involved in the processing and modification of rRNA in the nucleolus. There are two main classes of snoRNAs: the box C/D class, and the box H/ACA class. U3 snoRNA is a member of the box C/D class. The record is from Rfam by way of RNAcentral. Lineage: Eukaryota; Metazoa; Chordata; Mammalia; Primates; Tarsiidae.